Homo sapiens (human) is the source of this 1816-nucleotide long non-coding RNA. RefSeq lists it as uncharacterized. The record is from RefSeq and is a predicted model, not a curated record. The transcript has 3 exons. Lineage: Eukaryota; Metazoa; Chordata; Mammalia; Primates; Hominidae.
CCUCAAGUGAUCCUCCUGCCUCAGCCUCUCAAAGUGCUGGGAUUACAGGAGUGAACCACUGUGCCCAGCCAUUGCCAACACUCUAGUAUUAGCUUGGUGAGAUGGUGUCUAACUUCCGGUCUCCAGAAUUGUACAAUAAGUUUUUGCUGUUUUAAGGCAAAAAUAAAUCUCAUGUUCCCUGUAACUCACCAAUCCCAUUUUGAGAAAUUUAUACUACAGAAAUAGCCACAGUAGUAUCCAAGUGUUUACUCAAGAGAAUUAAUCAUAGCACUGGGUACUGCAGGGUGAGGAGGGAACAAGAAAUUCUUUGGUCUUGGUAGAAAUGAUGGUGCCAGCCAGAAAAUAGAUUCAUCCAGGCAUGAAAAGAAAAAAGUUAACUGCUCGCUCACUUCUAUAGUACAUACACUAAAAUUGGAAUGAUUAGAAUGGCCCCUGUGCAAGGGUAAACACAAAUUUGUGAAGCAUUCCAUAUGGUGGGGUCAUCCCUCUCCUAUUGUGAAUAUUUGCAGUUAUUUCAUCCAUCAUCCCUCUCUCUGACCUACCCUUCCGUCUCCCAUUUCCGUAUUUUUUUUUUCCAGACAGGGUCUCAUCCUGUUGCCCAGGCUGGAGUGCAAUGGUGUUAUCAGAGCUCACUGCAGCCUUAACCUCCUGGGCUCAAGUGAUUCUCCCACCUCAGUCUCCCUGGGACUACAGAGUAGGAAGGAGAAGAGUGCUGAAUCAAGGCCCCCAAGGAGUCCCCAUUCCAAUCCCCAGAAGCUGUGAACAUCUCAAUUGGCAAAAGGGACUCUGCGGUGUGACUAAGUGUGCAGGUAGGGGACAAGAUAUGAUGAGGGUCCUUAAGGAGGCCAAAGGAUCGAUGGGUGUCAGAGAGCUGGCAGCCUAAGGAAGACGUGACCAACCAUGGCUGGCUUUGAAGACGGAGGAAUGGACCAAGAAAAAAAAAAGGGGGAACGUGGGCUGACUCUAGAAGCUGGAAAAGGCAACAAAAUGGAUUAUUCUCUCCUAGAGCCUUCAAGAGGAACCAGUCCUGUUAAAACCUUGAUUUUGGCCGGGCGCGGUGGCUCACGCCUGUAAUCCCAGCACUUUGGGAGGCCGAGGUGGGUGGAUCACGAGGUCAGGAGAUCGAGACCAUCCUGGCUAACACGGUGAAACCCCGUCUCUACUAAAAAUGCAAAAAAAUUAGCCGGGCGUGGUGGCGGGUGUCUGUAGUCCCAGCUACUCAGGAGGUUGAGGCAGGAGAAUGGCGUGAACCCGGGAGGCAGAGCUUGCAGUGAGCCGAGAUUGUGCCACCGCACUGCAGCCUGGGCAACUGAGCGAGACUCCAUCUCAGACAAAACAAAACAAAACAAAACAAAACAAAACCUUGAUUUUAGCCCAGUGGGACCCAUGUCAGAGUUCUGACCUUCAGAGCUAUAAGAGAAUCUGUUGUUUCAAGCUGCCAAGUUUGUUAAAGCAGCAACAGAAAACUAAUACAGUGCAUUGGCGAGUCCCCAGUGACUGCCCAGAGAUCCGGUGCUUCCCAGGGAGCUGACCUUUUGCCUUCCUGCUGCAUGACCAGCUAACUAUGGAGGGUGCGGCCUGACCUAGAAGUACCCAUGGCCUUGGCGCAACCCCUGCUUGCAGCCCCUCUUCUCAGAGGUCCCCCUUGUCCAGCCGUACUUCGAAAGGAAAUCCCCUUUGUGUCUCUCAAGCCGGGACUGAUGAGUUCCAAGGCCAGUGAGGCUGGGAGCAGGAGAAACGGAAGCCAACUGUGCUUUCCUGGGUCUUCUGCUGCUCUCCACACUGAGACCUCAGGCCCAGCCUCUGCACAGACGAG